Molecule: unclassified non-coding RNA, 262 nt
Filed under: Cercozoa sp.
Lineage: Eukaryota; Cercozoa
Description: partial contains small subunit ribosomal RNA, internal transcribed spacer 1, and 5.8S ribosomal RNA
Rfam family: Eukaryotic small subunit ribosomal RNA (bases 1-47)
Source: RNAcentral
AAAGUCGUAACAAGGUUUCCGUAGGUGAACCUGCGGAAGGAUCAUUAACACGUAUCCAACGUUAAACCCCCCUGUGAACCUUCAGCGUGCUCUUUUGACCCGUUGACGCAGCAAUCUCUGGUAAAUCAUGGUGAACAGCUUUGAUUCAGGUCACAGGGUCACCAUGCCCCUUACCUCACCCCGAGUAAACCGAUCCGGCUCGCGAUAAUCCGCUUGCUAAAAAAUACUUGAACAACUGUUAACAAUGGAUAUCUUGGUUCUC